This 524-nucleotide ribosomal RNA is filed under the name Sphingomonas sp. D8. RNAcentral describes it as "bacterial SSU rRNA". It matches the Rfam family "Bacterial small subunit ribosomal RNA", at positions 801 to 1319 of the family's 1533-position model. The record is from RNAcentral. Lineage: Bacteria; Pseudomonadati; Pseudomonadota; Alphaproteobacteria; Sphingomonadales; Sphingomonadaceae.
CGUAAACGAUGAUAACUAGCUGUCCGGGGACCUGGUCUUUGGGUGGCGCAGCUAACGCAUUAAGUUAUCCGCCUGGGGAGUACGGCCGCAAGGUUAAAACUCAAAGGAAUUGACGGGGGCCUGCACAAGCGGUGGAGCAUGUGGUUUAAUUCGAAACAACGCGCAGAACCUUACCAGCGUUUGACAUGUCCGGACGAUUUCCAGAGAUGGAUUUCUUCCCUUCGGGGACUGGAACACAGGUGCUGCAUGGCUGUCGUCAGCUCGUGUCGUGAGAUGUUGGGUUAAGUCCCGCAACGAGCGCAACCCUCGCCUUUAGUUACCAUCAUUUAGUUGGGUACUCUAAAGGAACCGCCGGUGAUAAGCCGGAGGAAGGUGGGGAUGACGUCAAGUCCUCAUGGCCCCUUACGCGCUGGGCUACACAACGUGCUACAAUGGCGACUACAAGUGGGCUGCAAUCCCGCGAGGGUGAGCUAAUCUCCAAANAGUCGUCUCAAGUUCGGAUUGUUCUCUGCAGGCUCGAGAGC